GAUGAACGCUAGCGAUAGGCUUAACACAUGCAAGUCGAGGGGCAGCAUGGUUUUAGUUUACUAAGACUGAUGGCGACCGGCGCACGGGUGCGUAACGCGUAUGCAACUUACCUUAUAGAGGGGGAUAGCCCGUUUAACGACGGAUUAAUACCGCAUAUACAAGUAUAUUGGCAUCAAUUAACUUGGAAAUGAAUUUCGCUAUAAGAUAGGCAUGCGUCCCAUUAGUUAGUUGGUGAGGUAACGGCUCACCAAGGCGACGAUGGGUAGGGGAACUGAGAGGUUGAUCCCCCACACUGGUACUGAGACACGGACCAGACUCCUACGGGAGGCAGCAGUGAGGAAUAUUGGUCAAUGGACGCAAGUCUGAACCAGCCAAAUCGCGUGAAGGACGACUGUCUUAUGGAUUGUAAACUUCUUUUAUACGGGAAUAAUCACAGAUACGUGUAUCUGUUUGAAUGUACCGUACGAAUAAGCAUCGGCUAACUCCGUGCCAGCAGCCGCGGUAAUACGGAGGAUGCGAGCGUUAUCCGGAUUUAUUGGGUUUAAAGGGUGCGUAGGUGGUCUGAUAAGUCAGCGGUGAAAUCUCCGAGCUCAACUCGGACACUGCCGUUGAAACUGUUGGACUUGAGUGUAGAUGAGGUAGGCGGAAUGCGUGGUGUAGCGGUGAAAUGCAUAGAUAUCACGCAGAAACUCCGAUUUGCGGAGGCAGCUUACUAAGGUACAAACUGACACUGAAGCACGAAAGCGUGGGUAUCAAAACAGGAUUAGAUACCCUGGUAGUCCACGCUGUAAACGAUGAUUACUGGGCGUAUGCGAUAUACAGUAUGCUCCUAAGCGAAAGCGUUAAGUAAUCCACCUGGGGAGUACGCCCGGCAACGGUGAAACUCAAAGGAAUUGACGGGGGCCCGCACAAGCGGAGGAACAUGUGGUUUAAUUCGAUGAUACGCGAGGAAUCUUACCUGGGUUUAAACUUUGAUUGACCGUCCAAGAGAUUGGAUUUCCCUUCGGGGCAAUCAUUUAGGUGCUGCAUGGUUGUCGUCAGCUCGUGCCGUGAGGUGUCGGCUUAAGUGCCAUAACGAGCGCAACCCCUGUCUGCGGUUACCAUCAGGUAAUGCUGGGGACUCCGCAGAGACUGCCGUCGUAGGCGUGAGGAGGGUGGAGAUGACGUCAAAUCAGCACCGCCCUUACAUCCAGGGCGACACACGUGUUACAAUGGUGAGGAC
Molecule: ribosomal RNA, 1223 nt
Filed under: uncultured bacterium
Lineage: Bacteria
Description: bacterial SSU rRNA
Rfam family: Bacterial small subunit ribosomal RNA
Source: RNAcentral